AAUUUCCUAGGGGGCGUCAAAGCCUACCGAAGACUAUCAAACUCCGAAUGCCGUUUUCUUUUACUUGGGAGUCAGACUGUGGGUGAUAAGAUUCAUAGUCAAAAGGGCAACAGCCCAGAUCGUCAGCUAAGGUCCCUAAAUGUACGUUAAGUGGUAAAGGAUGUGGGAUUGCACAGACAACCAGGAUGUUGGCUUAGAAGCAGCCACUCAUUUAAAGAGUGCGUAAUAGCUCACUGGUCGAGUGAUCCUGCGCCGAAAAUUUCCGGGGCUAAAACGUACUACCGAAGCUACGGCAUCAUUUAUGAUGGGUAGGGGAGCUUCGUAUGCAGGCUGAAGCAUGACCGUAAGGACAUGUGGACAGUAUACGAGUGAGAAUGUUGGCAUGAGUAGCGAGACGUGGGUGAGAAUCCCACGGGCCGUAAACCCAAGGUUUCCAGGGGAAGGUUCGUCCGCCCUGGGUUAGUCGGGACCUAAGCCGAGGCCGAAAGGCGUAGGUGAUGGACAACAGGUUGAUAUUCCUGUACCGCCAAUAAGCGUUUGAGAGAUGGAGUGACACAGUAGGAUAAGCUAACCGUACUGUUGGUUAUGUACGGCUAAGCAUUGAGGCAGUCUAAAUAGGCAAAUCCGUUUAGACAAUGCUAGGAUGUGAUGGGGAAGCCCUUCGGGGCGAAGUAGCUGAUUUCACACUGUCAAGAAAAGCUUCUAUCGAGUUUAAAGGCGCCCGUACCGUAAACCGACACAGGUGGGUGAGGAGAGUAUCCUAAGGCCAGCGAGAGAACUAUUGUUAAGGAACUCGGCAAAAUGACCCCGUAACUUAGGGAGAAGGGGUGCCUGUCUAUGACAGGCCGCAGAGAAUAGGCCCAAGCGACUGUUUACCAAAAACACAGGUUUCUGCUAAGUCGCAAGACGAUGUAUAGGAGCUGACGCCUGCCCGGUGCUGGAAGGUUAAGGGGAUCUGUUAGAGCAAUCGAAGCAGUGAACUUAAGCCCCAGUAAACGGCGGCCGUAACUAUAACGGUCCUAAGGUAGCGAAAUUCCUUGUCGGGUAAGUUCCGACCCGCACGAAAGGCGUAACGAUUUGGGCACUGUCUCAACAAUAGACUCGGUGAAAUUGUAAUCCCGGUGAAGAUGCCGGGUACCUGCGACAGGACGGAAAGACCCCAUGGAGCUUUACUGUAGCUUGACGUUGGGUCUUGGUACUACAUGUACAGGAUAGGUGGGAGACUAUGAAGCAUGGACGCCAGUCUGUGUGGAGUCAUCCUUGGGAUACCACCCUUGUAGUACUGGGAUCCUAACCAUAGGCCUUGAAUCAGGUCUUGGAACACCGUCAGGUGGGCAGUUUGACUGGGGCGGUCGCCUCCUAAAAAGUAACGGAGGCGCUCAAAGGUUUCCUCAGCACGGUCGGAAAUCGUGCGAAGAGUGUAAAGGCAAAAGGAAGCUUGAUUGCAAGACAUACAGGUCGAGCAAGGACGAAAGUCGGACUUAGUGAUCCGGUGGUACCGCAUGGAAGGGCCAUCGCUCAACGGAUAAAAGCUACCCUGGGGAUAACAGGCUUAUCUCCCCCAAGAGUCCACAUCGACGGGGAGGUUUGGCACCUCGAUGUCGGCUCAUCACAUCCUGGGGCUGAAUUCGGUCCCAAGGGUUCGGCUGUUCGCCGAUUAAAGUGGUACGCGAGCUGGGUUCAGAACGUCGUGAGACAGUUCGGUCCCUAUCCGUCGCAGGCGUAGGAAAUUUGAGAAGACCUGUCCUUAGUACGAGAGGACCGGGAUGGACGUACCUCUGGUGUACCAGUUGUUCUGCCAAGGGCAUGGCUGGGUAGCUAUGUACGGAAUGGAUAAGCGCUGAAAGCAUCUAAGCGCGAAGCCAACUUCAAGAUAAGAUUUCCCACCGUAAGGGUAAGACCCCAGGAAGACUACCUGGUUGAUAGGUCGAAGGUGUAAGUGCAGUAAUGUAUUUAGCUUAUCGAUACUAAUAGGUCGAGGACUUGACCAA
RNAcentral lists this ribosomal RNA (1991 nucleotides) under metagenome. RNAcentral describes it as "bacterial LSU rRNA". It matches the Rfam family "Bacterial large subunit ribosomal RNA", at positions 913 to 2925 of the family's 2925-position model. The record is from RNAcentral.